Molecule: non-coding RNA, 75 nt
Organism: Oryzias latipes (Japanese medaka)
Lineage: Eukaryota; Metazoa; Chordata; Actinopteri; Beloniformes; Adrianichthyidae
Source: Rfam
UCACGGGGAACAUUCAACGCUGUCGGUGAGUUUGUGCUACGAUCAAAACCAUCGACCGUUGACUGUACCCUGAGA